RNAcentral lists this unclassified non-coding RNA (253 nucleotides) under uncultured fungus. Its description in RNAcentral is "partial contains 5.8S ribosomal RNA, internal transcribed spacer 2, and large subunit ribosomal RNA". The stretch from base 1 to 52 matches the Rfam family "5.8S ribosomal RNA", at positions 103 to 154 of the family's 154-position model. Lineage: Eukaryota; Fungi. The record is from RNAcentral.
AACGCACAUUGCGCUCCCUGGUAUUCCGGGGAGCAUGCCUGUUCGAGCGUCAUUACACCACUCAAGCUCUGCUUGGUAUUAGGCCAUCGUCCUCCGAAAGGUGGGCGUGCCUCAAACACCUCGGCGGAGCCUCUCCGGCUUUGGGCGUAGUAGAAUUUCUCCACGUUCAAGACCCGGUAGGCCUCCUUUGCCGCUAAAAACCCAAUUUUUACAGGUUGACCUCGGAUCAGGUAGGGAUACCCGCUGAACUUAA